UACGUAGGGUGCGAGCGUUAAUCGGAAUUACUGGGCGUAAAGGGUGCGCAGGCGGUUCUGCAAGUCAGGCGUGAAAGCCCCGGGCUUAACCUGGGAAUGGCGCUUGAAACUACAGGACUGGAGUAUGGCAGAGGGAGGUGGAAUUCCACGUGUAGCGGUGAAAUGCGUAGAGAUCGGCAGGAACACCCAGGGGGAAACCAGCCGACUGGGCAUCUGCUGACGCUGAGGUGCGAGAGCGUGGGGAGCGAACCGG
This 253-nucleotide ribosomal RNA is filed under the name uncultured bacterium. RNAcentral describes it as "partial 16S ribosomal RNA". It matches the Rfam family "Bacterial small subunit ribosomal RNA", at positions 524 to 776 of the family's 1533-position model. The record is from RNAcentral.